Small nuclear RNA from Papaver somniferum (opium poppy), 164 nucleotides. RefSeq annotates it as U1 spliceosomal RNA. The record is from RefSeq and is a predicted model, not a curated record. NCBI's taxonomy places the organism in Eukaryota, Viridiplantae, Streptophyta, Magnoliopsida, Ranunculales, Papaveraceae. The transcript has a single exon.
CUACUUACCUGGAUGGGAUCUAUAGAUAAUUUAAAAGGUCCAUUGCCUAAUUUAGCGACCUCCAUUGCACAUUAAUUAAGGAGGGGUGCUCACUUAAGAUCUUCCCAUAGAAGGUUUCUACGUCAUAAUUUGUUCUUGAGGGUACCUGUCCGCGCGACCCUUAA